UUACACAUGCAGUCGAGCGGCAGCGCGGGGGCACCCUGGCGGCGAGCGGCGAACGGGUAGUAAUACAUCGGAACGUGUCCUGUCGUGGGGGAUAGCCCGGCGAAAGCCGGAUUAAUACCGCAUGAGAUCGAGAGAUGAAAGCAGGGGACCUGGGGGUAACUUCGGGCCUUGCGCGAUUGGAGCGGCCGAUGUCCGAUUAGCUAGUUGGUGAGGUAACGGCUCACCAAGGCGACGAUCGGUAGCUGGUCUGAGAGGACGACCAGCCACACUGGGACUGAGACACGGCCCAGACUCCUACGGGAGGCAGCAGUGGGGAAUUUUGGACAAUGGGGGCAACCCUGAUCCAGCCAUGCCGCGUGUGUGAUGAAGGCCUUCGGGUUGUAAAGCACUUUCGGGCGGAACGAAAUCGCGCGGGCGAAUAUCCCGCGUGGAUGACGGUACCGUAAGAAGAAGCACCGGCUAACUACGUGCCAGCAGCCGCGGUAAUACGUAGGGUGCGAGCGUUAAUCGGAAUUACUGGGCGUAAAGGGUGCGCAGGCGGCUUCGCAAGUCAGACGUGAAAUCCCCGAGCUUAACUUGGGAAUUGCGUUUGAAACUACGAGGCUGGAGUGUGGCAAGGGAGGUGGAAUU
This 630-nucleotide ribosomal RNA is filed under the name uncultured bacterium. Its description in RNAcentral is "bacterial SSU rRNA". It matches the Rfam family "Bacterial small subunit ribosomal RNA", at positions 49 to 668 of the family's 1533-position model. The record is from RNAcentral.